Molecule: ribosomal RNA, 253 nt
Filed under: uncultured prokaryote
Description: partial 16S ribosomal RNA
Rfam family: Bacterial small subunit ribosomal RNA
Source: RNAcentral
UACGUAGGCAGCAAGCGUUGUUCGGAGUUACUGGGCGUAAAGAGUGCGUAGGCGGUUCUGCAAGUUUGGUGUGAAAUCUCCCGGCUUAACUGGGAGGGUGCGCCGAAAACUGCGGGGCUUGAGUGUGGGAGAGGUAAGCGGAAUUCCUGGUGUAGCGGUGAAAUGCGUAGAUAUUGGGAGGAACACCAGUGGCGAAGGCGGCUCACUGGACCGGUACUGACGCUGAUGCGCGAAAGCGUGGGGAGCAAACGGG